GACCAGCGCAUAAGGAAAAGGGAGGGGGGAUCUGGAUAAGCGCCAUAUUGGAGGUGGCACUUCCACGCUGUUACCCUGGUUCGAGCUACAAGGGAAUAACCACGAUCCCCUGGUUAUAACAAAUAAACUGAUGGAAGUGUUUCCGAAGCUCCAACAAGGGGGAGGCUUUAAUGGAAAAUCUUGCAUUGCUUCAGUGUCCCAGCACUGGAUACACCCUUGCCUAUCUGAAAGAUCCAUCGACGAUGAUUGGACAGGCUACAAUCUACAUAAGUCCACUUCAACAGGAUCUACCCUUAGAUUGUGAGAGCUCACGUCCUGCCUCUGGUCCAGUCAUCCCCUGCAUCACUUGUCAGAAGGAGGUUCCCUUUUCAGAGAUGAAGCUGCACAGAUUGAGCUGCAAUGGGAGGAAUGGGCCGAACACUGCCAUUUGAGGGUGAACCUGACCAUCUUGUUCCAGCAGCAUCAGAGGCACAUAUUGAAAGCAACCUCUUCCGGGUUGCACGAAGGAUGUUGGCCCACACCUUUCUGCAUGACGGUCCCCAUGUUACAGGAUUAAGUCCUGCUGUAAUUCAUGUACUGUUCAAUGGGGACCCUGAAAUGGCUACUGUUGUUGUUGAACACUGUCCUGAUCUGCACAUCAGGAGCAUCAUAGAACUGGUAUGUAACCUAGCCAUGUAAAAAGUAUUGCUUGGGCAGAUAUAAUAAAUGGUAUGGUCCUUAUUCUAGCCUGAACAUGAAGAACUUACACCAGAACAGAAAGACACAGUUUCAGAUCUUUCCAUGUCUUGGGAUCUUCCGGCAGUCACCAAAACAAAU
This is a long non-coding RNA of Gasterosteus aculeatus aculeatus (three-spined stickleback), 816 nucleotides long. The record is from Ensembl. Lineage: Eukaryota; Metazoa; Chordata; Actinopteri; Perciformes; Gasterosteidae.